This 460-nucleotide ribosomal RNA is filed under the name uncultured bacterium. RNAcentral's name for it is "partial 16S ribosomal RNA". It matches the Rfam family "Bacterial small subunit ribosomal RNA", at positions 338 to 795 of the family's 1533-position model. The record is from RNAcentral.
CCUACGGGGGGCUGCAGUGAGGAAUAUUGGUCAAUGGACGAGAGUCUGAACCAGCCAAGUAGCGUGAAGGAUGACUGCCCUAUGCGUUGUAAACUUCUUUUAUAUGGGAAUAAAAUGUUCCACGUGUGGGAUUUUGUAUGUACCAUAUGAAUAAGCAUCGGCUAACUCCGUGCCAGCAGCCGCGGUAAUACGGAGGAUCCGAGCGUUAUCCGGAUUUAUUGGGUUUAAAGGGGGCGUAGGUGGAUCGUUAAGUCAGUUGUGAAAGUCUGGGGCUCAACCGUAAAAGUGCAGUUGAAACUGGCAGUGUAGAGUAGAGUAGAGGUGGGCGGAAUUCGUGGUGUAGCGGUGAAAUGCUUAGAUAUCACGAAGAACUCCGAUUGCGAAGGCAGCUCACUGGACUGCAACUGACGCUGAGGCACGAAAGUGUGGGUAUCAAACAGGAUUAGAUACCCUUGUAGUC